ACUCAAAGGAAUUGACGGGGACCCGCACAAGCGGUGGAGCAUGUGGUUUAAUUCGACGCAACGCGAAGAACCUUACCUGGGCUAGAAUGCGAAGGAAGAGCGUGCAAAACAUGCUUGUCUGGUGUAAAAGCCAGACCUGAAGCAAGGUGCUGCAUGGCUGUCGUCAGCUCGUGUCGUGAGAUGUUGGGUUAAGUCCCGCAACGAGCGCAACCCUUACCAUUAGUUGCUACAGUUCGGCUGAGCACUCUAGUGGAACCGCUGGUGAUAAACUGGAGGAAGGUGGGGAUGACGUCAAGUCAUCAUGGCCUUUAUGUCCAGGGCUACACACGUGCUACAAUGGCUGAUACAGAGGGCCGCAAACCCGCGAGGGGGAGCCAAUCUCACAAAAUCAGCCUCAGUUCGGAUUGCAGUCUGCAACUCGACUGCAUGAAGUUGGAAUCGCUAGUAAUCGCGGAUCAGCACGCCGCGGUGAAUACGUUCCCGGGUCUUGUACACACCGCCCGU
This 504-nucleotide ribosomal RNA is filed under the name uncultured bacterium. RNAcentral's name for it is "partial 16S ribosomal RNA". It matches the Rfam family "Bacterial small subunit ribosomal RNA", at positions 899 to 1397 of the family's 1533-position model. The record is from RNAcentral.